AUUGAACGCUGGCGGCAUGCCUUACACAUGCAAGUCGAACGGCAGCAUGGAGAGCUUGCUCUCUGAUGGCGAGUGGCGAACGGGUGAGUAAUGCAUCGGAACGUACCGUGUAAUGGGGGAUAACGUAGCGAAAGUUACGCUAAUACCGCAUACGAACUGAGGGUGAAAGCAGGGGAUCGCAAGACCUGGGGUUAUACGAGCAGCCGAUGUCAGAUUAGCUAGUUGGUGAGGUAAAGGCUCACCAAGGCGACGAUCUGUAGCGGGUCUGAGAGGAUGAUCCGCCAAACUGGGACUGAGACACGGCCCAGACUCCUACGGGAGGCAGCAGUGGGGAAUUUUGGACAAUGGGGGCAACCCUGAUCCAGCCAUGCCGCGUGAGUGAAGAAGGCCUUCGGGUUGUAAAGCUCUUUCGGCCGGGAAGAAAUCGCACAGGCUAAUACUCUGUGUGGAUGACGGUACCGGCAUAAGAAGCACCGGCUAACUACGUGCCAGCCGCCGCCGUAA
Molecule: ribosomal RNA, 504 nt
Filed under: uncultured bacterium
Lineage: Bacteria
Description: partial 16S ribosomal RNA
Rfam family: Bacterial small subunit ribosomal RNA
Source: RNAcentral